UACAGAGGGGGCAAGCGUUGUUCGGAAUUACUGGGCGUAAAGGGCGCGUAGGCGGCCACCUAAGUCAGACGUGAAAUCCCUCGGCUCAACCGGGGAACUGCGUCUGAUACUGGGUAGCUUGAAUUCGGGAGAGGAAUGCGGAAUUCCAGGUGUAGCGGUGAAAUGCGUAGAUAUCUGGAGGAACACCGGUGGCGAAGGCGGCAUUCUGGACCGACAUUGACGCUGAGGCGCGAAAGCCAGGGGAGCAAACGGG
This 253-nucleotide ribosomal RNA is filed under the name uncultured bacterium. Its description in RNAcentral is "partial 16S ribosomal RNA". It matches the Rfam family "Bacterial small subunit ribosomal RNA", at positions 524 to 776 of the family's 1533-position model. The record is from RNAcentral.